GAACGACUCUCGGCAACGGAUAUCUCGGCUCUUGCAUCGAGGAAGAACGUAGCGAAAUGCGAUACUUGGUGUGAAUUGCAGAAUCCCGUGAACCAUCGAGUCUUUGAACGCAAGUUGCGCCCGAAGCCAUUAGGCCGAGGGCACGCCUGCCUGGGUGUCACAC
This 163-nucleotide ribosomal RNA is filed under the name Lespedeza bicolor. RNAcentral's name for it is "5.8S ribosomal RNA". It matches the Rfam family "5.8S ribosomal RNA". From Rfam's summary of the family: 5.8S ribosomal RNA (5.8S rRNA) is a component of the large subunit of the eukaryotic ribosome. It is transcribed by RNA polymerase I as part of the 45S precursor that also contains 18S and 28S rRNA. Lineage: Eukaryota; Viridiplantae; Streptophyta; Magnoliopsida; Fabales; Fabaceae. The record is from RNAcentral.